AGGCGGACAUGCAAGUGUCUUGUGAAAUCCCACGGCUCAACCGUGGAAUUGCGGGGCAAACUGUGUGUCUUGAGGUCGGUAGGGGUUGCCGGAACUCUAGGUGUAGCGGUGAAAUGCGUAGAUAUCAUCAGGAACACCAGUGGCGAAAGCGGCUCACUGGGUCUCUUCUGACGCUGAGGCACGAAAGCUAGGGUAGCGAACGGGAUUAGAUACCCCGGUAGUCCUAGCCGUAAACGUUGAGCACUUGAUUGAGGACCCUCCCAUAGGUUCUUGGUCGAAGCGAAAGUGAUAAGUGCUCCGCCUGGGGAGUAUGGUCGCCAAGGCUGAAACUCAAAGGAAUUGACGGGGGCUCACACAAGCGGUGGAGGAUGUGGCUUAAUUCGAGGCUACGCGAAGAACCUUAUCCAGGGUUUGACAUGCACGGAUUAACUCCCUGAAAGGGGAGCCACAGUUUCGACUGGAACGUGCACAGGUGCUGCAUGGCUGUCGUCAGCUCGUGUCGUGAGAUGUCGGGUUAAGUCCCUUAACGAGCGAAAACCUUAUCUUUAGUUGCCAGCGAGUAAUGUCGGGGACUCUAGAGAGACUGCCGGUGUUAAACCGGAGGAAGGCGGGGAUGACGUCAAGUCUUCAUGGCCUUUAUGCCAUGGGCUGCACACGUCUUACAAUGGCACGUACAGAGGGAAGCAUACUCGUGAGAGUAAGCAAAUCCCAAAAAGCGUGCCCCAGUUCGGAUUG
This 735-nucleotide ribosomal RNA is filed under the name uncultured Planctomycetota bacterium. RNAcentral describes it as "bacterial SSU rRNA". It matches the Rfam family "Bacterial small subunit ribosomal RNA", at positions 573 to 1300 of the family's 1533-position model. The record is from RNAcentral. Lineage: Bacteria; Pseudomonadati; Planctomycetota.